UUCGCCCUUUCCGGUUGAUCCUGCCGGACCCGACUGCUAUCAGAGUGGGACUAAGCCAUACGAGUCGACGUAGCAAUACGUGGCGAACGGCUCAGUAACACGUAGUCAACAUGCCCAGGGGACGUGGAUAAUCUCGGGAAACUGAGAAUAAACCACGAUAGGUCACGAUUUCUGGAAUGGAUCUUGGCUUAAAUCUACAUGGCCCCUGGAUUGGACUGCGGCCGAUCAGGCUGUUGGUGAGGUAAUGGCCCACCAAACCUAUAACCGGUACGGGCUCUGAGAGGAGGAGCCCGGAGAUGGGCACUGAGACAAGGGCCCAGGCCCUAUGGGGCGCAGCAGGCGCGAAACCUCUGCAAUAGGCGAAAGCCUGACAGGGUUACUCUGAGUGAUUUCCGCUAAGGGGAUCUUUUGGCACCUCUAAAAAUGGUGCAGAAUAAGGGGUGGGCAAGUCUGGUGUCAGCCGCCGCGGUAAUACCAGCACCCCGAGUGGUCGGGACGAUUAUUGGGCCUAAAGCAUCCGUAGCCGGUUCUGCAAGUCUUCCGUUAAAUCCAGCCGCUCAACGGAUGGGCCGCGGAGGAUACUAUAGGACUAGGAGGCGGGAGAGGCAAGCGGUACUCAGUGGGUAGGGGUAAAAUCCUUUGAUCCAUUGAAGACCACCAGUGG
Molecule: ribosomal RNA, 664 nt
Filed under: uncultured archaeon
Lineage: Archaea
Description: bacterial SSU rRNA
Rfam family: Archaeal small subunit ribosomal RNA
Source: RNAcentral